AUGGUGAAAGGGCAGAAUCCAGAACGCAAAAAUAGAGAGAGACAGAGAGACAGAUCCAAUCUCGGAGGGGCUCUCGCCCCUCCCAUGCCAUGGAAGCCAAGGACCAGAGGGGAAACCCUCCUCCCAUCCAGGAGAAGGUCAAGGAAGAAGAAGAAGGAGGGGGGCUCUCUCCCCCUCGCUUCCGGUGGCGCCGGAACGCCGCCGGGGGCCAUCAUCAUCACCGCGAUCUUCACCAACACCUACACCAUCUUCACCAACAUCUCCAUCACCUUCCCCCCUCUAUCUACAGCGGUCCACUCUCCCUCAACCCGCUGUACCCUCUACUUAAACAUGGUGCUUUAUGCUUCAUAUUAUUAUCCAAUGAUGUGUUGCCAUCCUAUGAUGUCUGAGUAG
RNAcentral lists this ribosomal RNA (393 nucleotides) under Triticum aestivum (bread wheat). Its description in RNAcentral is "partial small subunit ribosomal RNA". The record is from RNAcentral. Lineage: Eukaryota; Viridiplantae; Streptophyta; Magnoliopsida; Poales; Poaceae.